Molecule: ribosomal RNA, 253 nt
Filed under: uncultured Acidobacteriota bacterium
Lineage: Bacteria; Pseudomonadati; Acidobacteriota
Description: uncultured Acidobacteria bacterium partial 16S ribosomal RNA
Rfam family: Bacterial small subunit ribosomal RNA
Source: RNAcentral
UACAGAGGGGGCGAGCGUUAUUCGGAAUUAUUGGGCGUAAAGGGCGCGUAGGCGGCUAAGUAAGUCUCGGGUGAAAUCCCUCGGCUCAACCGAGGAGCUGCCUUGGAAACUGCUUGGCUUGAGGCCGGGAGAGGAUGGUGGAAUUCCCAGUGUAGCGGUGAAAUGCGUAGAUAUUGGGAGGAACACCGGUGGCGAAGGCGGCCAUCUGGACCGGUCCUGACGCUGAGGCGCGAAAGCGUGGGGAGCAAACAGG